This 318-nucleotide unclassified non-coding RNA is filed under the name Hevea brasiliensis (rubber tree). Lineage: Eukaryota; Viridiplantae; Streptophyta; Magnoliopsida; Malpighiales; Euphorbiaceae. The record is from RNAcentral.
UCAGCACAGUGAUUUCUCUGCCUGCAGAGAGAACUUUCCGAUUCAAUCAUGGCGAACGUACCGAGAUCAUUUUUGCAAGUUGCAGCUAAAGAAGAAGAAGCUGCACCGCCGUUGCGAGUUGUUCAGAUUGAAGGACUGGUCAUUCUGAAAAUAAUAAAGCAUUGUAAGGAGUUUUCCCCAGCUUUGGUCACUGGGCAACUUCUUGGGUUGGAUGUCGGAAGUGUUCUUGAAGUCACAAACUGUUUUCCAUUUCCGGUUCGUGAAGAGGAUGAGGAGAUCGAGGCUGAGGGCGCUAAUUAUCAGCUUGAAAUGAUGAGA